CCUACGGGGGGCAGCAGUGAGGAAUAUUGGUCAAUGGGCGAGAGCCUGAACCAGCCAAGUCGCGUGAAGGAUGACGGCCCUACGGGUUGUAAACUUCUUUUGUCAGGGAGCAAUUGAGUCCACGUGUGGGCUUAGCGAGAGUUCCUGAAGAAAAAGCAUCGGCUAACUCCGUGCCAGCAGCCGCGGUAAUCCGGAGGAUGCGAGCGUUAUCCGGAUUUAUUGGGUUUAACGGGUGCGUAGGCGGAAUAUCAAGUCAGCUGUGAAAGUCCGCGGCUCAACCGUGGAAUUGCAGUUGAAACUGGAGGCCUUGAGUGCACACAGGGAUGCCGGAAUUCAUGGUGUAGCGGUGAAAUGCUUAGAUAUCAUGAAGAACUCCGAGCGCGAAGGCAAGUGUCCGGGGUGCAACUGACGCUGAGGCUCGAAAGUGCGGGUAUCAAACAGGAGUAGAUACCCUUGUAGUC
This 461-nucleotide ribosomal RNA is filed under the name uncultured bacterium. RNAcentral's name for it is "partial 16S ribosomal RNA". It matches the Rfam family "Bacterial small subunit ribosomal RNA", at positions 338 to 795 of the family's 1533-position model. The record is from RNAcentral.